UACGAAGGGGGCGAGCGUUGUUCGGAUUUACUGGGCGUAAAGGGCGCGCAGGCGGUCAUUUUUGUCGAGUGUGAAAGCCCCGGGCUUAACCUGGGAACUGCAUUGGAAACUAGCGGGCUGGAGUGUGGCAGAGGGGGGUGGAAUUCCACGUGUAGCAGUGAAAUGCGUAGAGAUGUGGAGGAACACCGAUGGCGAAGGCAGCCCCCUGGGCUAACACUGACGCUCAUGCACGAAAGCGUGGGGAGCAAACAGG
Molecule: ribosomal RNA, 253 nt
Filed under: uncultured bacterium
Lineage: Bacteria
Description: partial 16S ribosomal RNA
Rfam family: Bacterial small subunit ribosomal RNA
Source: RNAcentral